GGUUAUGGCUCAGUGGUAGAGCGCUUGCCUAGCAUGCGUGGGGCACUGGGUUCAAUCUUCAGCACCA
This 67-nucleotide transfer RNA is filed under the name Marmota monax (woodchuck). RNAcentral's name for it is "tRNA.Ala". Lineage: Eukaryota; Metazoa; Chordata; Mammalia; Rodentia; Sciuridae. The record is from RNAcentral.